GAACAUACUUUAAAGAACAUACACAGUGGCCAGCAUUCAUGACAUCUUGCUGUGGAUUAGGUGUAGGCAACGAUAACAUUUCUUACACGGUAUUUCCACAACACACACGCCUAAAGGCAAGUGUACGAAGAUACCGAAUACAAAGGAUCUUAAAGUGGAUGUUAUCACUAUCUACAGUUAUUUGGUUUAAGGCUAUGUUUUAACAAAAGUUGACACGGACCUAUAGUUACCAUACUUUGCACAUAUUGUCUUUGUGGUGGUUGUAAAAGGAAUAUUUACACCAAGUUCUAUCUGGCGUGGAGAUUUCCGUAAGGUGAGGUCAUCAUCAACCACGAUAACUGUUGUUUCAUUGUGUGAAACUAUACAUCCGCCAUCAUUGGAAAAAUCAAACUGAAAAUAUAUCAAUGCAACGUAUGAGGAUUAUAUUAAUCGGAUAUUUCGACUUGGAUUAUAGCAGAUUAUUGAUAUGUUGUAGUUUUUGAAUACAUACAGACAAACAAAGCAUAGCAAUGAGUUCUUGCACGGAGUUAGUCUUAGGUAGUGGUAUAGAAGCCAGUAGUACAAAUAGAACAAAUGGUGCCGAUAUCAUUUUAACGUGUGCAGAUUUUGCUCACCGUGUAGUUGGUAACAGUAGUGUAACAUGUAAGGCUGGUACAUGGAGUGUUGAUACUUCUAAACUAAAAUGUGAAUGGAGUUGGGAUUUUUCAACACACGAAAAAUUAGUAUUUGGUACAUCAAUAGCGGCUGUUGGCUUUAUAAUAUUAAUGAUUAUUGUAAUAGUUAUAGCAUAUUGUGUUUGCUAUAGAAGACGAAACGAAGACGAUAAGAGUGGUUUUGAUGAUAAUGUUAGUCCACAUUUAAAGAAUGAAAACUAUGAUCACUAUGGUAAUGCAGUAUCUGUAGGCAGCACCGAUCCUUCUAAUAAUGCAUAUUAUGCUUAUCAAGAGCAUCCAGAAAGCCCUAAACAUAAUAAUUGGGGCUAUGAUAACUGGGGACACGAUGCGCCGACGUCUGAUGUUUCUGGUAUAAAUAAACCAUGGAUGGGAUAUAUACCUCGGCCAAAGAUAGCAGAUAAUAAUAGAACAUAUUACAAUAGCUAACAAGUCUAAUUCGAAUACAAGUCACGAGGAAAGCAGUUCUGUUGUUCCUGUUCAUUAAACCAUUCACAGUUUAAAAACUAAAACGCUUAUUUUUGAGCAUUCGUUUUGCCAAAUAAAGUUAACUGAAUACAUUUGAAUGAAAAACUAAAGGGCAAGAACUCUAUGUAGGAGUAGGGAUGGGACAGAAUAACAAACAAAAAUCUGCAGGGGUGUUUCUUAGGCGAAAUUGAUUGAAAAAAAAAACCAUUUUGGCAAAAUUUUUGUUCUAUCUCGAAUUUUUCGCUGGGGUAAUUGGCAUUUUUCAAAAUGGCGGCCAAAAAUGUAUUUUUCGAGAGUUUUGUCCUCGAAUGGGCAAGAUAUGUGUUUCAAUAUGUCUUUUAAUAGGUUUUCGAGUAUGCCGAGUUCCAAAAAUUAUACUCCGACGUGUGUCGAGCAAUGACGGCCAUCUUGAAUCCAAUAUGGCCGCCAUUUUGGCCAAAAAUGAUUUUUUUUUAAAUUUUAUUGUCGCAUGCGGUCAGAUGUGUCCAAUAUGGCCGCCAAAAUUAGUACUAAACAGUCAAUAACAAUAUCAUAAAGCAACAUAUAACACAACUAAAUAGUAUAUCAUUAUACUAUAUACUAUGGCUAAUUAUGCGUUUUGUAGUGCAUCUAGUCAGUUCAAUGGUGAAUCCAGUCUAAAGAACGAGUUUGAGUAAUGUAGUAAUGCUGGUAAUGUAGCAAUGUAGUGCAUCUAGUCAGUUCAAUAGUGAAUCCAGUCUAAACAACUACAUGUAGUCAGUUUAAAGAACGAGUUUGAGAAAUGUAUCCACAUCUCCAAGAUGGCUGCAGUUGCUCGAAACGCGUUGGAGUAUAAUUUGUUGAACUUGGCAUACUCGAAAACAUAUUAAAAGGCAUAUUGGACCACAUAUUAGAUCCAAGAUGGCCGCCAUUAUUGGAACCACUUUGGAAUAUAAUAUUUUGAACUCAGCAUACUCGAAAACCUAUUAAAAGAACAUGUUGGAACACAUAUCUUGCCCAUUCGAGGACAAAACUCUCGAAAAAUACAUUUUUGGCCGCCAUUUUAAAAAAUGCCAAUUACCCGAGCGAAAAAAUCGAGAUAGAACAAAGAUUUUGCCAAAAUCGUUUUGUUUUAAUCAAUUUCGCCUAAGACUGAAGAAUUUUCAGAUGGUAGAAAAGUGCACUUGGUCCCAUCCCUAGUAGGAGCUUUGGAAAGUUUUGUGAAAAAAGAUUUCAGUGAAAUAAACUGGAAUUGAAAUUAUGAUAAAACACUUUGCAGGGACAGAUAUAUUGCUACGUUAGAGUAGAUUAAUUUUGCUAAAUUUCACGAACUAACCAUAUUUCGAACUAAUCUAUGUUGAUUCUUAUUUAAACGAAUCUUAGUUCAUAUUAUGGUAGUCUAAUAUUAAUCUUCAUGUGUAUAGUGUGUAUUGAAUUACUAAUUAGUGUUGAAAUAUUAAUUUAGUGUUAGUUCAUCUAUAAAUAAUUAUCAGAACCUUGUACAGAUGCUACACAUUGAAUAAUUGAAUAAUUUUACCAUUAUCAUGAAUUAGACUAUUACAUUAAUUAUGUAUUCAAUACAUCUACAUUACAAUAUAUAUUAAUAUGCUAUAUACCAAUAACAAGCAUCUACAUGUAUAAAUAUUUCAUGUAAAAUAGUGUAAAUAACAUAAUGAAAAAUAUAACUUGCAUCUAUUUUUAACUUGUAUUUUUGUGAUUUCAUUUUAUUUUGUACGUGCUUUAGAUAAAAUAAAG
Molecule: long non-coding RNA, 2852 nt
Organism: Patella vulgata (common limpet)
Lineage: Eukaryota; Metazoa; Mollusca; Gastropoda; Patellidae
Exons: 7
Source: RefSeq, a predicted model, not a curated record